GCCCCCAUAGCUUAACCCACAAAG
Molecule: non-coding RNA, 24 nt
Filed under: Gallus gallus (chicken)
Lineage: Eukaryota; Metazoa; Chordata; Aves; Galliformes; Phasianidae
Source: RNAcentral